Molecule: ribosomal RNA, 91 nt
Filed under: Amphilophus citrinellus (Midas cichlid)
Lineage: Eukaryota; Metazoa; Chordata; Actinopteri; Cichliformes; Cichlidae
Source: RNAcentral
CAUGAUUGUGAUCGGCCAGACCACCCUGAGCACGCCCGAUCGAUUAGUACUUGGAUGGGACACCACCUGGGAAUACCAGGUGCUGUUAGGG